This 75-nucleotide transfer RNA is filed under the name Caudoviricetes sp. Its description in RNAcentral is "tRNA-His". It matches the Rfam family "tRNA". Rfam says of the family: Transfer RNA (tRNA) molecules are approximately 80 nucleotides in length. Their secondary structure includes four short double-helical elements and three loops (D, anti-codon, and T loops). Lineage: Duplodnaviria; Heunggongvirae; Uroviricota; Caudoviricetes. The record is from RNAcentral.
GUGGGCGUAGCACAAUGGCUAGUGCGGUAGAUUGUGGUUCUACUUAUUUGGGUUCAAUUCCCAACGUUCACCCCA